GAUGAAGAACGAAGCGAAAUGCGAUAAGUAGUGUGAAUUGCAGAAUUCAGUGAAUCAUCGAAUCUUUGAACGCACAUUGCGCCUCCUGGUAUUCCGGGAGGCAUGCCUGUUCGAGCGUCAUCAAAAACCUCAACCCAUGAUUUAUUGUGAGUUGGUUCUGCAUUGGACUCCUUGUGGGUCCUUUGCGAAAUCCAAUGGCGAAGAGCCACGCAACCAAAGCGUAGUAUAACUAUUUCGUUAUGGAAGCGUGGGUGCCUCUGCCGUAACCCCCAAUUUCUUAGUUUUUGACCUCGGAUCAGGUAGGGAUACCCGCUGAACUUAAGCAUAUCAAUAAGCGGAGGA
This 342-nucleotide unclassified non-coding RNA is filed under the name soil metagenome. Its description in RNAcentral is "partial contains 5.8S ribosomal RNA, internal transcribed spacer 2, and large subunit ribosomal RNA". The stretch from base 1 to 120 matches the Rfam family "5.8S ribosomal RNA", at positions 35 to 154 of the family's 154-position model. The record is from RNAcentral.